This 518-nucleotide long non-coding RNA is filed under the name Sus scrofa (pig). RNAcentral's name for it is "lncRNA (ENSSSCG00035046769.1)". The record is from RNAcentral. Lineage: Eukaryota; Metazoa; Chordata; Mammalia; Artiodactyla; Suidae.
AGUUGCGGGCCUGAGGAGGUACCUUCCUGAGGACCGGGGGUAGGGCGUGUUGGGACCCGGGGCCCCCAGCGCUCUAGACGGCUGCUAGCCAAAGGAGGACCUGGAGUGGCGGCGCAGAGAGCGCGUCCCGCCAGAGGACAGCCCCUCUGCUUGUCUCCCGAGGCCGGCGCGAGAGAACCGCCGAGCCCGCCCGGGCCUGCACCUGGCGAGGCUUCUUCAGGAGCGUCCUCAAAAUCAAGCGUUUCUGAAGCCCGGGACAGAUGCUUUCUGUGUUGUUCUAAAACACGCUUGUAAGGAGGAGAAUCCUCGGUUCAGAAGAGCUGAGGAGAGGCCACAGUUGAACUCAGACACCAGGAGAGAGAGGCUUUGAAUCUGCCUGAAAGCCAUCCUAUUUUUUGCUGACAAUGUGCAGGUACAUUGCUUUUGCUGUGGACCCCAGCCUUUUGCCAGCCAUGUGUAUAUCCCACCUAGGCUCCUCAUGCCUUGCUUCUAGUGGCUUUUGAGUCUGUGCUAACAUG